Molecule: ribosomal RNA, 164 nt
Filed under: Camellia reticulata
Lineage: Eukaryota; Viridiplantae; Streptophyta; Magnoliopsida; Ericales; Theaceae
Description: 5.8S ribosomal RNA
Rfam family: 5.8S ribosomal RNA
About the family: 5.8S ribosomal RNA (5.8S rRNA) is a component of the large subunit of the eukaryotic ribosome. It is transcribed by RNA polymerase I as part of the 45S precursor that also contains 18S and 28S rRNA. Functionally, it is thought that 5.8S rRNA may be involved in ribosome translocation.
Source: RNAcentral
UAAACGACUCUCGGCAACGGAUAUCUCGGCUCUCGCAUCGAUGAAGAACGUAGCGAAAUGCGAUACUCGGUGUGAAUUGCAGAAUCCCGCGAACCAUCGAGUCUUUGAACGCAAGUUGCGCCCGAAGCCAUUAGGUUGAGGGCACGUCUGCCUGGGCGUCUCAC